AGCCUACGGGACGCAGCAGUCGGGAAUAUUGCGCAAUGGAGGGAACUCUGACGCAGUGACGCCGCGUAUGGGAAGAAGGUCUUCGGAUUGUAAACCAUUUUAGACAGGGAAGAGGAAGGACAGUACCUGUAGAAUAAGCUCCGGCUAACUACGUGCCAGCAGCCGCGGUAAUACGUAGGGAGCAAGCGUUAUCCGGAUUUAUUGGGUGUAAAGGGUGCGUAGACGGGAAAUUAAGUUAGUUGUGAAAUCCCUCGGCUCAACUGAGGAACUGCAACUAAAACUGAUUUUCUUGAGUGCAGGAGAGG
This 305-nucleotide ribosomal RNA is filed under the name uncultured bacterium. RNAcentral describes it as "bacterial SSU rRNA". It matches the Rfam family "Bacterial small subunit ribosomal RNA", at positions 335 to 657 of the family's 1533-position model. The record is from RNAcentral.